Molecule: ribosomal RNA, 402 nt
Filed under: bacterium
Lineage: Bacteria
Description: partial 16S ribosomal RNA
Rfam family: Bacterial small subunit ribosomal RNA
Source: RNAcentral
UGGGGAAUUUUGCACAAUGGGGGAAACCCUGAUGCAGCGACGCCGCGUGAUUUAGAAGGCCUUCGGGUUGUAAAAAUCUUUUCUAUGGGAAGAAAAUGAAAGUACCAUAGGAAUAAGGACCGGCUAAUUACGUGCAAGCAGCCGCGGUAAUACGUAAGGUCCGAGCGUUGUCCGGAAUCAUUGGGCGUAAAGGGUACGUAGGCGGGUAAGCAAGUUAGAAGUGAAAUCCUAUAGCUCAACUAUAGUAAGCUUUUAAAACUGCUCAUCUUGAGGUAUGGAAGGGAAAGUGGAAUUCCUAGUGUAGCGGUGAAAUGCGCAGAUAUUAGGAGGAAUACCGGUGGCGAAGGCGACUUUCUGGCCAUAACCUGACGCUGAGGUACGAAAGCGUGGGUAGCAAACAGG